Molecule: ribosomal RNA, 253 nt
Filed under: uncultured bacterium
Lineage: Bacteria
Description: partial 16S ribosomal RNA
Rfam family: Bacterial small subunit ribosomal RNA
Source: RNAcentral
UACAGAGGGUGCAAGCGUUAAUCGGAAUUACUGGGCGUAAAGCGUGCGUAGACGGUCAUGUAAGUCGGGUGUGAAAGCCCCGGGCUCAACCUGGGAAUUGCAUUCGAGACUGCAUGGCUAGGAUGCGGAAGAGGGAAGCGGAAUUUCCGGUGUAGCGGUGAAAUGCGUAGAUAUCGGAAGGAACACCAGUGGCGAAGGCGACUACCUGGCCUGUUCUUGACGCUGAGGCGCGAAAGCUAGGGGAGCAAACGGG